Long non-coding RNA from Notolabrus celidotus (New Zealand spotty), 772 nucleotides. RefSeq lists it as uncharacterized. The record is from RefSeq and is a predicted model, not a curated record. The transcript has 2 exons. NCBI's taxonomy places the organism in Eukaryota, Metazoa, Chordata, Actinopteri, Labriformes, Labridae.
CCUCUCCCCUGUGGGGUUUUAACUGCAGAGAGUCAACACUCUUUCAUUCCCACAGAGCAGGUCAGCAGUGCCAAUGGAACCAUGAGACACAGCAGUGCAUACAGAUGAGGAUGAUGGUAGGGUUGGCAAGAUCUUUUUUGGUGAAUAGGUCAUGUGACAUGUACCAGGAAACAGCUUGGCUGCUGGUAUUGGAGUGCAGAGAUGCAAAUCAGUGCCAGGAGUUUUGCUUCCAAUACAUCAACAGUCAUGAGGGACCAGAAUGUAUGUUACACCAUCGCCUGAUCACAAGACAGAGCUUCAUCAUGCACACUCCCAGACACGCAAACCAGUGUACGCACUUCCUAAAACCACUGACCGGGAGUUAACAUCUCCCCCACAUGUGUCCAUGCGUGUGUUCAAUCCAGAGUUACCAACUACAAAGAAGUUCAGAAAAGGUCUUCAGCCACAUGACUUCUAUCCCAUCACACUGCAGAAUCGCUGAAGUCUAGAGAGGAUGAUAAAGGCAUCAUUUUAUGAUGAACAAAUCCAGGGACAUCACUCAAACAAACAUAUCUAUCUGAAUAUGUCAAUCAACUGUCCUGAUGGGACUUUUUUUUUACAUGAACCUCCAUCCCUGUCCAAAAGUUCACACUGCACAAAUACUGUUGCAAUGUCUAACACACCAAUGAUUCGCUUUGUGUGCCAAUUGAGCAAACCACUCUGGGGAUGUAGACUAGUACCAAAUGCUGGAGCUCCAGAGUAAGCAAAUAAAUGAAGAGUGUUUUGUCUCAUG